Cajanus cajan (pigeon pea) is the source of this 495-nucleotide long non-coding RNA. RefSeq lists it as uncharacterized. The record is from RefSeq and is a predicted model, not a curated record. NCBI's taxonomy places the organism in Eukaryota, Viridiplantae, Streptophyta, Magnoliopsida, Fabales, Fabaceae.
UUCAGGAAUAGAAACUUAUUCUGUUGAUGCUGCUACUGCCGAUUCUGAUUCCUCUUCUUCUGUUUCUUCCGCAGAUUCCGUUGAUCCGGAUUCUCCUGGUGUGGAUUCAGCAAUUUCUUCUGCUUACCUGACUUCUAAUUCUGCAAUGGAAACGGAUGAUGGAACAGACUCCGCAACAGAUUCUUCUCUUUUGCCUGCAUAGAUUGCAAUGCCUUUGUGAAGAAAAAGUGAACAAAAGGAGCAUGAAAGGCAUAGCUGAAGCUGCAAGAAAGCUAAGGCAAAUUUGCUUACGGCAUGUGUCAUCAUACACUGAUGCUUUUCUUGUGCUUCAUUCUGCUCCAACUUUUAAGAUUUUUAGUACUAUAAAUUAUAAUUGUCUCAUAUGGUGCUUGCUUUCAUGACUUCAUUAACGAGGGCAAGUCAAAUGUCACGUAGUAUGAUAACAUGACAACAUGAAAGACUUGGCAUAGAAACAAAAAUGCCGUAAAACAUCUA